UUUUUUUUUUUCUAAAGAGGUAACUUUCUCAACUUUGAUAAAUUGAAAAAUGCUUGUCCCGUUUCUUUUCUGUGGCCUUCUGCUUUUCUCAUCUAUUUGUUUUGAUGUAUAUAACUGUUCUAUAAUAUUUAUUAAGGACACCAGUUACUGAAGUAAAAGUACAUCAAUAAAUCAAUAAAAAUGUGCCAAUGUUUUACAGACUGCAUUCUCUCACACACACAAAUAGCAUGAAGUUUUCAAUGAUAUGAUCUAGAGUAGCUGCAAGUACGGCUGGGCCUGGAUGUCCCAAGUUUUACAAAGAGCUUAAAUCAUGAGAGUGCAAUAAGUCUCCAGAGUUACAAAACAUCCCAGAGCAGGAAUUAUGCUUUACUUCCAUGCUUUGAGUAUUUAAGGGAAGAGAGAUGAAAUAAGAAUGAUGAGAACAGUAGAAAAAAAUGAAGAGAUAAAAAGGGGAGAAAGACAAAGACAUCAAAGAAAUGAUCGGACUACUGAUUACAGAAAUGAUGGAUGACUGAUGAGACACAUAAGGAUUAUACCUGAGUACAAUUGCAGUAUGGAUGAGGAGUUAAAAACUGGAGUAUAUUGGGGAGAAAACUAAUUUUUUUAAACAAUUGAAUAGAUGUUUUAAAUGAUUUCAUAGUGUUUUAAAUUAGAAUUAAAAAAAUCAAUGCAGACUCCUGACUUUAAAAAGAAAUGUCUGGGAGUUCCUGUUGUGGCACAGCGGAUUAAGAAUCCAACUAGUAUCCAUGAGAAUGUGGGUUCAAUUCCUAGCCUCGCUCAGUAGGUUAAGGAUCCUGAAUUGCUGCAAGCUGUGGUAUAGGUCUAAACUUCAGCUUGGAUCUGGCAUUGCUGUGGCUGUGGCUGUGGCUGUGCCUAUGGUGUAGGCCAGCAGCUGCAUCUCUGAUUUGACCCCUAGCCUAGGAACUUCUAUAUGCCACAGGUGUAGACCUAAGGGAAAAAAAAAAAGGGAGGGGGGGAGAAAAAUGUCUUUUGGAGUUCCCACUGUAGCACAGUGGGAUGGGCUGCAUCUCUGGAGUGCUGGGACACAGGUUUGAUCCCUGACCCAGGCACCAUAGGUUAAGGAUCCUGCAUUGCUGCAGUUGUGGCUCGGAUCUGAUCCUUGGCCUGGGAAGGCCAUAUGACUUGGGGGUGGCCAAAAAAGAAAAAGAAAGAAAGAUCUUUCAAAUUUAAACACCCCCCCAAAAAAAUCUAAAAGAAAAAUGUACAAAAAAAAUUUUUUUUGCCAUUAAUAUUUUUCUUCAUUUAAAGGAACUAAGAUUCCUUAUAAAAUAGCUCAUUCCAUGUUUUGGGUCAGAGAAAGGUUAUAAUCUAGAACAUCUUCUUGUAUAUAUAAAGCAAAAAAGUUUUCUUUUUUGUGUGUGUUUUUAGGGCUGCAUCCACGGCAUGUGGCAGUUCCCAGGCUAGGGGUCUAACUGGAGCUAUGGCCUCUGGCCUACGCCACAGCCACAGCAAUGCCAGAUCGCAGUCUCAUCCACGACCUACCCCACAACUCACGGCAAUGCCAGAUCCUUAACAAUCUGAGCAAGGCCAGGGAUCGAACCCGCAACCUCAAGGUUCCUGGUUGGAUUCAUUUCCACUGCACCACAACGGGAACUCCCAAGAAUGUUUUCAAAAAUGCUUGUGAGUGGGAGUUCCCAUCGUGGCACAGCAGAAACAAAUCCGACUUGUAUCCAUGAGGAUUCGGUUUCCAUCCCUGGCCUCGCUCAGUGGGUCAGGGAUCCAGCGUUGUCGUGAGCUGUGGUGUAGGUUGCAGACAUAGCUUGGAUCCCAAGUUGCUAUGGCUGUAGUGUAGGCCAGCAGCUGUAGCUCCAAUUCGACCCCUAUUCUGGGAACUCCAAAUGGUGCGAAUGCAGCCCUAAAAAGCCAAAAAAACCCCAAAAUUUUGGAGAAGUGCUGAAGAAACAAUAGAACCAUCUUAAAAGGUCUUUUACCAGCCAAGAUCUAAAGAUUUGAGUAAAAAUGGGAAAAUGAUUAUAGAUCAUUGAAACUAUGAAAGUCUAUAAUGAUUCUCCAAAGGAAAAAGUUUGCAAUUUAGCAAUAGGUAGUUUGGCCAUAUAACGUGAACGUGAUAAUAUACAUAUGUUAAUUAUUUUAAAGUUGAAUAAAUACAGCUAAUACUAUUGGUUUUACAAAAAUUUAAACUAUAUAUUAGUUCAUAAAGCACAAACACACUUUUUCCCUAGUUGAGAAAUUAAGAGGGAUGAAUGGAGGAACUGGGAAUUAGCCAAGCAAUCUUGGAAAAAAAUAUUAACUAUACAAAGAACAGAAAGCCCUGCUUCACAUCAUCUGUCACACAUAACAACCAGGUAGAAAUGAGAUCCAACAUUUUAGUUGCAAAAUGACCAAAUAGAGAAUUCAAUGGAGUAUUUCAAGAUGAUGAUUUGCCAAAUGUCCUGAGGAAGACAGAAGACAGUUAAUUGAAUAGCUCUCCAUUCCCGUCUCAUGAAAGAUGAAACCUUUUAAUGGUCUUAUUCAUUAUAAUUAAUGAGACAAAAUAAGUUUGCAAAAAUGAACAGUCUAGGUCAACGAGUAUAUAAGAAGAAGAAACUGGGUUCUUCAAGGUGGCCAAGUGAAACAAAAACUAUUUCAGAAGAGGUAUUAGGUCACAUUCUAUGAGUAGCAAGGACUCUUAAAGUUUCAUCAACAUAUGAAAGGAGAGCUGGAAGUUCCCUGUAGCCUAAUGGUUGGGGACUUGGCAUAGUCACUGCUGUGGCUCAGAUUCAAUCCCUGGCCUGGGAACAUCCACAUGCUGCCAAUACAGCCAAAAAUAAAUAAAAAUAGAGAGACAGCCAGAAGGCACAACCAGGCCUAUGACCCAACUAAAAUUUAAUUGGCUGAAACCUGAGCUGGUCUAAAUAAAGUGCUUUUUCCUUUGGUUUCAUAUCUAGAAUGAAGCAGUAUUAAGUAUUCAUAAUAUUAUUCAACCCCAGGGCUGCCACUAGUUCUUUUGGAACCUUCGUACCAAUGAAAAAAAGAGAUCCCUUCCUUCUAGGUUGAUGGCUUUUCAGAGCAGAAGAAUUGUAUUUCAGCUCCUCCUCGCCCCUUUAGCCAGGCACCCUUGUGCAAAGCAGAGCCUGCUGUGGCUUCCUGUCCUUCUUAGGAAGGUUUAAGAAAUAAACAUGUGGUAAAAUUACCACAACCCCAGAAACAUAUAAGUGUAGGAAUGAUGAAGACAUUAAUUUUGACCUGCAGUAAUAAUACUUUAUAAGCAAUUUAAGGGCAGUAUAAAUUUUGUCAUUACUGUGACAUUUUGUGCAUAUUUUGUUUGCUUUUUAUUUUUAUUUUAUUUUUUCUUUUUAGGGCCACACCCAAGGCAUAUGGAGGUCCCAGGCUAGGGGUCGAAUCAGAGCUACAGCUGCCGGCUUACAUCACAGCCACAGAAACUUGGAUCCAAGCCACGUCUUCGACCUACACCACAGCUCACAGCAAUGCCAGAUCCCCAACCGAGCAAGGCCAGGGAUGGAACCCACAUCCUCAUGGAUGCUAGUUGGAUUCGUUUCCCCUGUGCCACAACAGGAACUCCUUGUUUGCUUUUAAAUAUAAACCUUAUAUUUAAAAUGAACUUUUCAAGAGUUCCCCGGUGGCCUAGUGGGUAAGAAUAAGGCAUCGUCACUGCUGUGGCUCAGGUCACUGCUGUGGCACAGGUUUGAUAACUUGGCCCAGACCUUCUGUAUGCAUGCCUCAGAAACAGCCAAAAAAGAAAUUAAAAUGAUAAAAAAAAAAAAAAACAAAACUUCUGGGUAUGUUGAUAAAAUAAGGUUUGAGAUCGAUGCUUAAACAUCAGGGAGGUAGUUCCCAUUGAGGUACAGUAGGUUAAUGAUCUAGCUUGUCUCUGUAGAGGUACCAGUUUUAUCCCUAGUGUGGCACUAUGGGUUAAGGACCCGCAUUGCUGGAACAGCGGCAUAGGCCGCAGCUCUGGCUUGGAUUUGAUCCCUAGCUGGGGAACUUCUAUGUGGCUCAUGGUGGCAGAAAAAAGAAAACAAAAACAAAAACCCAGCAACAAACCAGGAUUACUCUCUUCCAAUUGGUUAAAAAAAGCAACCUUGGACUGCUGUCUUCCAGUGGUGCACCAUCUUAGCACCAACCACCCAGGGGGCCACAGCUGCAAGGGUACCUUUUUUAAAGUACAGAAUCCAGCGUCUAACCUGAGACCUACACUUCAGGUCUCAAAAGGAUAAACUACAUACUGCACAAUAACUCCAACACUCAAAAAACACACACAGAUAAUAAUAGAUGUCCUUGAUCAAGGGCCCCCCUGAACUGACUACAAAUUAGCAGCCCCCUGAUGGGUAAAUUAUUCUUCAGGACAGUUGAUAGUGCCGCCAAGUAAAGCCAGAUCUUAGGGCUUGGGAUAAGGUUUUAAAAAAGCACUGCAUUAGGUGUUUGUGAUUUAGUCCCUAACUCAUUGUGUGACCCUUAGGCAGAUUACUUUAUUUUAGAGGCUUUUUUUAUAUCAUUUAUACAUCUCUAUCUUAUUUUAAAGGAUUGGAGUAAGAAUAAAAUAACAGAUGAAAACAUUUUUUGAGAAAGCAGUAACUCUUACAAAAACAAAAGAACAAAUGACCUCAUUCCAGAGGUUCCAUAAUUUUUGCCUGCCCUUCUCCACCACUCUUGCCAAGCCAUUCUCCUCACAGCAUCAAUUUACAGACCUGACGAUUUUCAGUUAAAGUCUCUCUAAGAUCUUUAACAGCACCGAAAGUAUAUGAUUCCCAUUAAUCCACCAAUCACAAGCAUUUACUAUGAAUUAUUAAGUGUUGGAAACAAACCAAAAAAAAGAGUAAAAUCUAGCAAAAUGAUCAAGUCCAGCAAUCAAUAAUGAUGGAAUGUAGUAUUAAAAGUUUAUAUAAAAAAUAAAAUAAAAAAGGAGUUCCUGUCGUGGCUCAGUGGUUAACGAAUCCGACUAGGAACCAUGAGGUUGAGGGUUAAGGAUCCAGCAUUGCCGUGAGCUAUGGUGUAGGUCGCAGAUUCGGCUCGGAUCUGGCGUUGCUGUGGCUCUGCUGUAGGCCAGCGGCUACAGCUCGGAUUAGACCCAUAGCCUGGGAACCUCCAUAUGCCAAGGGAGCGGCCCUAGAAAUGACAAAAAAACAAACAAACAAAAAAGUUUAUAUAAAGUCAUUGGGAAGUGUUGUUCUGGACAGUCCCUCUAGCCAACUCUAUUAUCAAUCAUAAAACACUUACCAAGCACUAUAAAGCUGAAAAAAAAGGCUGGUAGGAUACAGAGAAGUUUAAUAGUAUCCUGUGUUCUAAAAACCCACAAUCUAGUGUGGUAGGUAGUACAGAUGAUGUUAAAGCUAGUCUUUCCAGGGAGUUUCCGCUGUGGUUCAUUGGGUUACAAACCCAACUAGUAUCCAUGAGGAUGCAUGUUUGAUCCCUGACCUCGCACAAUGGGUUAAGGAUCCAGCUCUGCCCAUUAUCUGUGGUGUAGGUCACAGAUGCCGCUGAGAUCCAAUAUUGCUGUGGCUGUGGUGUGGGCCUGCAGCUGUAGCUCUGACUACUACUAACCUGGGAACUUCUUGUAUGCCACAGGUGGGGCCCUAAGAAGCAAAAACAAGCAAACAAAACCACGUUAGUGUUGCCAGACCUGGAUUGGAGUUGACUCCGCUAUUAGCUUACUGUACGACUUCUGGCAAGUAAAACUUUUGCUUCUCUAAACCUGUUUUCUCUCCUGUAAACUGGUGAUAAAAUAUACAGUACCUAUUCCUUAGAGUUAGUUUUGAGAUUCAAAUGAGGUAAUUUAAGUAAAGAACAGUUGGUAGCACAUAAGGGCUUGAUAAAUAGCCACAGUUCUUUUUGUGUCUGAACACAGUGCGGGGAGAUGAUGAGAGUGGGAUUCUCAUCAACACAAGAGCUAGCAAAGCAUACUGCAAUGUUGCAGAGCUGUUUCACUUUCUUCCUUUGAGACACAAGCCUCUUCCUCUGCUUCCUCCUCAGUAUUAGGCACUUUUUUGCUGUCCCAAAGUCCCAUGGAUUUAUACAGAACUUACUAUACAUUAAGCGUCCAAUUUCAAUGAGUAAGUCACUCCCUUCUUACUCCAACUACCACAGCUAUUGAGCAGCGUUUCUCACCCGAUUUAAAAAAAAAAAAGUGAGCCACACUUCAUCAAAUGUAAUUUAAACGUGGACUGCUUUUCUUUCCGACUACAAAGAAUGAACUCCUGCAAUGUACUUUGAAAUG
This 6196-nucleotide long non-coding RNA is filed under the name Sus scrofa (pig). RNAcentral describes it as "lncRNA (ENSSSCG00000060394.1)". Lineage: Eukaryota; Metazoa; Chordata; Mammalia; Artiodactyla; Suidae. The record is from RNAcentral.